GACCAAUCAGAUUUCCCUCCUAAUUCUUGUUGAUCCAAUCAGCAUCUCUGCCCUUGGUAUUUAAAAAUGGGACACUGUGAUACCAUUCAGGUACUUAAUGGGCUGAAGUUGAGAUCUUGGUGCAGUUCCAGGCUGGGGUGGCCAUUUCCCCUUGUGUUCAGAGAAGCAAAGUCAGUCUGCAGAAAGAGAAGUCUGGAAUAGAUACGCAAUGGGUAGAGGCUAGGAACCCCAGAAUCACAGAGACAUGGUGCAGUGAGUGCUGCAGGUACUAACCAGCUAACCAGACACUGAGGAGCAGGCAUGGGCUUCUUAGUCAUGGCCAUGCACAGCCUUCCUCUACCACAUAGGCUGAAUGCUAAAUGCCUCGUUUUUCCUGCCUCCCUUGCAGCUGGGACAGGCCAUGUUGUACAGAUCAGGCUGCUGACACAUAAGUAAAAGCCCUGGGAGAGCUUCCCUUCUGGAAUAAGAGGUGAGGUUCACUAGGAGGACAAUUCCACCCUUUGUCCUUUUGCCUGGUCUUUUUUUCACUCCUGGAGCUCAGACUGAGAGCAAGAACAGCUGCUUUGGCCAAGCAAGGCGCCAAGCAAGAGGCCAAAGCCCAGCUGCCACAGAUGAUGGAGUAAAAGGACAAGAGGACUUGGGUGGGGCCCGGUGGCAUCUCUGAGCUCCAGAACCUAAACUUCUUACAGAGGACAAAUAAGUCCCUCCCCAUGUAAGCCACCGUUGCUUGGUAUGUUUGUGCUGGGGAACAAAUUGCCCAAAUCUUCAUGACUGAAAAUAGCAGAUAUUAUUUCUCAUGAUUCCAUGGGUACAGCUGUGCACUUUUACUCUCUUGGCUGACAUGGCUGGGGCUGGGUGAUUUAGGGUGGCCUCACUUCCUGCCACCCUAGGAGACAUUUGACAGUAUCUGGACAUCAUUUUGAUUGUCACAAUGCAGACAGGAGGAUUCUACUAUCAUCUCACAGGUAGAGGCCAGAAUCCUGCUAAACGUCCUACAAUGCAUAGAACAGCUCCCAAGAACAGAGGAUCAUUUCAUCUUAAAUGUCAGCGUCUGCAAGUUUGAGAAACUGCCCUACAGAGGCCUUGACCGGGACACCUUCUCUCAGCUCAGCACACUCUUAUCACCCAGCAGGCCAGACCAGGCUUGUCCACAUGGUGGUGUCACAGGUCCGAGAGCAAGCCUGGUGCUCUGGCACUUUUCAAGUCUCUACCUGCCUUGCGUGCGUUAAUUUCCCACCUGACAAAGACAGAGACAGAUUUUUACCAUUUGCCCACAUUGGGCUUCUGUUAUUUGAAGCUUUAUAUAAUCCCAACUGAAGCAGAAGGAGAAAGUGAUGUUGACUGCCAGUGACAUCCUGGUUCCUAGUGCCUCUCCUUGUGAAGUCUGGAUCUCUGUUAUUUGCAACCAAACUGGCCUUUACAAAGACACUUUCCUGCUGUCCCCACGAGCGGGUCUGAGAAGCUACAGGCAACCUUUCCUUGGGGAGUUAUGCUGAUAGAAUACCUGCAGUCCCUGCAAACCCCCCAGUCCACCUGCACCUCUAAGAAGCUACAAGAACUUCCUUCUGCCCUUGCCAAUGGCAGCUAUGUGGAUUCUUGGAAUCGUGACUUUGCAGAUAAGGCCGGCUAUGACAUGCCGAAACAUAACUCCAUUUUUGCCUCCAGUCACAGCUGAGACCUCAAUGGUCCAGUGAUGCUGUGAUACUCCAGGGCAAGAUUACACCAGCUGAAGACAUCCUGGUUCCUUGAAAACUGAGUAGUAAGAGAAAGAUUUCACCUGGGGAGGACAAAUUCCUUAUCAGCUUAACUCAUCCCACCUACUGUUAUUUCUCAAGAGAUGAGAAAAGCCUCUGAGGCCAGGCAGGCUGUGAUUCUGACUCCUGUCCACACCCAGAAUGCUUCGAUUGACUAUUUGUGCUUCCUUGAACCUUGACCUCUGAGCAUCUUUCCAACUCAUCAAGGGACUCCUGAUGACUGCAGAGAGAUUGUAAUGAUUAAUUAGCGGCUGGUAUUUGUGAAGUGCUAAGCGGAUGCUGCAUUUUAUGAGCCAUCUUUAUGUCUCACCGCUUGCUAAUCCUUGGUGGUUUCCCAGCGUGGCAGGCUGGGGGGACCACACGGUUCUGGCAGGCUCUAGAGUGUCCCCCAGGUCUUGUGCCAUCUCCUCAUCACCCC
Molecule: long non-coding RNA, 2172 nt
Filed under: Heterocephalus glaber (naked mole-rat)
Lineage: Eukaryota; Metazoa; Chordata; Mammalia; Rodentia; Bathyergidae
Description: lncRNA (ENSHGLG00000046084.1)
Source: RNAcentral